Molecule: ribosomal RNA, 242 nt
Filed under: uncultured Eubacteriales bacterium
Lineage: Bacteria; Bacillati; Bacillota; Clostridia; Eubacteriales
Description: uncultured Clostridiales bacterium partial 16S ribosomal RNA
Rfam family: Bacterial small subunit ribosomal RNA
Source: RNAcentral
UACGUAAGGUCCGAGCGUUGUCCGGAAUCAUUGGGCGUAAAGGGUACGUAGGCGGAUAAGCAAGUUAGAAGUGAAAUCCUAUAGCUCAACUAUAGUAAGCUUUUAAAACUGCUCAUCUUGAGGUAUGGAAGGGAAAGUGGAAUUCCUAGUGUAGCGGUGAAAUGCGCAGAUAUUAGGAGGAAUACCGGUGGCGAAGGCGACUUUCUGGCCAUAAACUGACGCUGAGGUACGAAAGCGUGGGU